UGCCAGCCGCCGCGGUAAUACGGAGGGUGCGAGCGUUAUUCGGAAUUACUGGGCGUAAAGCGCACGUAGGCGGUUUGGUAAGUCCGAUGUGAAAGCCCACGACUCAAUCGUGGAAGUGCAUUGGAUACUGCCAGACUAGAGUGUUGGAGGGGAGAACGGAAUUCCUGGUGUAGAGGUGAAAUUCGUAGAUAUCAGGAGGAACACCGGCGGCGAAGGCGGUUCUCUGGACAACAACUGACGCUGAGGUGCGAAAGCGUGGGGAGCAAACAGGAUUAGAUAC
Molecule: ribosomal RNA, 280 nt
Filed under: uncultured bacterium
Lineage: Bacteria
Description: partial 16S ribosomal RNA
Rfam family: Bacterial small subunit ribosomal RNA
Source: RNAcentral